GAUGAACGCUGGCGGCGUGCCUAAUGCAUGCAAGUCGAGCGAACGGACGAGAAGCUUGCUUCUCUGAUGUUAGCGGCGGACGGGUGAGUAACACGUGGAUAACCUACCUAUAAGACUGGGAUAACUUCGGGAAACCGGAGCUAAUACCGGAUAAUAUUUUGAACCGCAUGGUUCAAAAGUGAAAGACGGUCUUGCUGUCACUUAUAGAUGGAUCCGCGCUUCAUUAGCUAGUUGGUAAGGUAACGGCUUACCAAGGCAACGAUGCAUAGCCGACCUGAGAGGGUGAUCGGCCACACUGGAACUGAGACACGGUCCAGACUCCUACGGGAGGCAGCAGUAGGGAAUCUUCCGCAAUGGGCGAAAGCCUGACGGAGCAACGCCGCGUGAGUGAUGAAGGUCUUCGGAUCGUAAAACUCUGUUAUUGGGGAAGAACAUAUGUGUAAGUAACUGUGCACAUCUUGACGGUACCUAAUCAGAAAGCCACGGCUAACUACGUG
This 497-nucleotide ribosomal RNA is filed under the name uncultured bacterium. Its description in RNAcentral is "partial 16S ribosomal RNA". It matches the Rfam family "Bacterial small subunit ribosomal RNA", at positions 28 to 507 of the family's 1533-position model. The record is from RNAcentral.